CUGCCGUAACGCCGCCGUUGGGCCCGCCCGCCCUGGCUCGGCCCCGGGGCCGCCUCUCCCCCGCCGAGCGCCGGGUCCUCCCCUCAGCGCCGGCGGGUUGGUGCGGCCGUGCCCCUUCCCCGGAGCCCUCACCCGCGGGCGCCGGGCGGGAGGGAGAGAGAGGGAUCGGCGGCGGGGCGGAGGAUCAGGCCUACAGCUGGGCUGGGGCUCGGCCGGCCUGGCCUGGUGGGCAGCCGCGCUCUGCCGCGGAACCGUGCCGCGGGGCACCGGCCCGGCCCGGCCCGGCCUGGUCUAGCAGGGCCUUCCCGCGGGCUGGCCCAAACCCUGUUCCUCCUAAGCUUAAACCCCGCUCGCGGCUCAUCCGCAGGGCUCCCGCCCGGGACUCGACCUCCCCUGCGCCCCCGAGCCGUCCUUCCGGCGGCGGCUCGGGGGCCCGGCCCCGGCCCGCAGGCUGGCAGCGCGGGCUGAGCUUUGCUUCCACUUUCUGGUGAGCUCUACAACAGAACGAAGAGCCAUGCCGUCCUGGGGCCUCCGCCAGCGGCCAGCUUGCUCGGGUAGCAAACGCUUGCGGUCGACAGGACGAGGUUUGGCUGCCUUCCAUAUGAUGGAGCAAUGUAGCUGCGUUAUGGGUUGACUUAGGCUUGCGUCACUACCCUGAACCAGAUUGCGUCUGCAGUCGUCUGGAACUGACUACAUGCCUGAGCUGAUAAAAGAUGCUGUGGAAAGGUGGAUCUCUGGCACCUUGGCAAGAUGCUUUUGCUGUAUCCCAUCUCUCUAUUGCCUGGUCCUCUGGAAGAUGAAAGAGUGAGAAUCAGCAGUGUGUCAUUAAUCCUGCAAACAAUUUGAGAACUGCUUUGACAGCCAAUAGAAGAAAAUAGUGUGAUGUGGCCACAGCAAGCAUAUGCUCUUUCUGGGAAUUUACAGUUGCACUAUGAUCCCAAGGAGGAGCGAUGCUCAGACCUCCCUCUGAUUACUUGUGUUCUUUUCUCUGCCUGUAUCAACAUUGUUUCUUUCCAACACACAGGUGUUCAUGCAAAAAUGCCAAGAUUCUUCGUGCAGAUUAAAGUAGGUUUGCAAAUUAAGGAAAGACUGGUGAGGAACAAAAGGAAAAUUAAAUUAUCCCAGCAAUUUUGCACUUCCUUGCAAUCAAAGCCCUGUCUUUGGUGGGUAUUAUAUAGGGUACAUGCUUGCUGAGGUCUGAGGCAAUUUUCCUUGUGUAAAGACUGCAGGAGUUAGCCCUAGCAAAUGAUGCUGUUCUAAAAAUGAUGGCCAGUAAGCAAUAGGUGACCUCUCUUGGGAAAAACAGGAAGAAAACUUGGUAAGAGCUUGAGCCUCAGUAGUGUUGCCUUUCACAAUUGAGCGACUGACAAACAAAAGGAAAAAAAAGGCAUGCCAAAUGACCGUGAGGAUGGAUGCCUCCUGUUGUGGAAUAGAAUGAAAUCCAGUUAUGUGCUCCCUCCCAUUAGAUCUGAUACAACUGCUGUAUGAUAAAAAUGAAUUUCUUAAGAAUCAACUGUAAACCCAUAGGUCAGCCAGCAAGAGAGUGACUUGACAAGUUCUUCAUUGCAAAGUGUAUGGCAGUUUCAUUCUUUUAAUCUGCAUCACUGCAGACAGUGUGUAGUUGAAUCCAAUGAAGUUCGAGUCAUGCUAUGAAUUUGGUUUCCAGAAGUCGAUUAUGGACAGAAACCUUUCAUUUCUAUGAAUUAUGUAUAUUUGAGUGAAAAGCUGUUGUGUAUGUAUAUAUGUUUAAUAACAGGAAAUGUAACAAACAUUUUUAUGAAACUAAUAAAACAGAUAAACCUAUAAAAACAC
Phalacrocorax carbo (great cormorant) is the source of this 1812-nucleotide non-coding RNA. The record is from RefSeq and is a predicted model, not a curated record. NCBI's taxonomy places the organism in Eukaryota, Metazoa, Chordata, Aves, Suliformes, Phalacrocoracidae.